Molecule: ribosomal RNA, 253 nt
Filed under: uncultured bacterium
Lineage: Bacteria
Description: partial 16S ribosomal RNA
Rfam family: Bacterial small subunit ribosomal RNA
Source: RNAcentral
UACAGAGGUCCCAAGCGCUGUUCGGAUUUACUGGGCGUACAGGGCGCGUAGGCGGUUGGAUAAGCCCUCCGUGAAAUCUCCAGGCUUAACCUGGAAAGUGCAGAGGGGACUGUUCAGCUAGAGGAUGGGAGAGGAGCGCGGAAUUCCCGGUGUAGCGGUGAAAUGCGUAGAGAUGACAUAGAACACCUAUUGCGAAGGCAGCUAACUACGCGAAUAUUGACGCUGAGGCACGAAAGCGUGGGGAUCAAACAGG